RNAcentral lists this long non-coding RNA (425 nucleotides) under Capsicum annuum. RNAcentral's name for it is "long non-coding RNA (CANN_LNC013166)". The record is from RNAcentral. Lineage: Eukaryota; Viridiplantae; Streptophyta; Magnoliopsida; Solanales; Solanaceae.
UAACUCAUCCAAUCAAAAUAAACCACAUCACACCAUACCCCACCCCCAUCUCACCACUACCCUAGCCCUACCUUACUACCCCACCCUCACCUCACAGCAUAUAUACACUACACCUCACAAAAAAAAAAGGGACCCCCAAAAAAAAAAAUACACCAACACUCUGAUUAUCCAUCUUCUCUUCACGACCUUCAUACAUACACAAUACAAACCUUAAGAACACGCUAAUGAUUCAUCCACGCAGAACUCAUCCUCACCAAAUACACUUACCACUCUCUCACCAUCGCAGACACGCACAGAGAGAUUGAGAGGGAGAGAAGAGAAAUUAAGAGAGACGAGAGAGAUCGACGAGAGAGUGACAGAGAGCUACGAGAGAGUGACAGAAAGCUACGAGAAAGGGAGAGAUCUGCGAUUGAAAUCAAAAGAGA